ACGCACGCAGGCGGCGUGCCUUAUACAUGCAAGUAGCACGCUGAAGGAGGAGCUUGCUUCUUUUGGAGAGUUGCGAGCGGGUUGAGUUUACGCGUAGGUUAACCUGCCUGGUUAGCGGGGGAUUAACUAUCUGGAAACGAUUAGCUAAUACCGCAUUAAGAGUAGAUGUUGCAUGACAUUUUGCUUAAAAGGUGCAAUUGCAUUCACUUACCAGAUGGACCCUGCGUUGUAUUUAGCUUAGUUGGUGGGGUAACGGCUCACCAAGGCGACGAUACAUAGCCGACCUGAGAGGGUGAUCGGCCACACUGGGACUGAGACACGGCCCAGACUCCUACGGGAGGCAGCAGUAGGGAAUCUUCGGCAAUGGACGGAAGUCUGACCGAGCAACGCCGCGUGAGUGAAGAAGGUUUUCGGAUCGUAAAGCUCUGUUGUAAGAGAAGAACGAGUGCGUAGAGUGGAAAGUUCACACUGUGACGGUAUCUUACCAGAAA
This 491-nucleotide ribosomal RNA is filed under the name Streptococcus mitis. RNAcentral's name for it is "bacterial SSU rRNA". It matches the Rfam family "Bacterial small subunit ribosomal RNA", at positions 29 to 489 of the family's 1533-position model. Lineage: Bacteria; Bacillati; Bacillota; Bacilli; Lactobacillales; Streptococcaceae. The record is from RNAcentral.